AUACGGAGGAUCCGAGCGUUAUCCGGAUUUAUUGGGUUUAAAGGGUGCGCAGGCGGCCAUUUAAGUCAGCGGUUAAAUCGUGGGGCUCAACCCCAUUCUGCCGUUGAUACUGGGUGGCUUGAUUGCGGUCGAGGUUAGCGGAAUUCGUUGUGUAGCGGUGAAAUGCAUAUAUAUGACGAAGAACACCGAUUGCAUAGGCAUCUGCACAGACCGCAAAGUACCACCAUGCUCUAAAGAGCGGGGAUCGAACAGGAUUAGAUGCCAUGGUAGUCCGCAGAGUAAGCGAUGAAUACUAGAUUUCGGCGAUAGAAUGUCGGAGGUAAAGCGAAAAUAAUUACUAUUCCACCUUGGGAGUACGCCGGCAACGGGGAAACUCACACGAAUUGACGGGG
Molecule: ribosomal RNA, 392 nt
Filed under: uncultured bacterium
Lineage: Bacteria
Description: partial 16S ribosomal RNA
Rfam family: Bacterial small subunit ribosomal RNA
Source: RNAcentral